RNAcentral lists this ribosomal RNA (256 nucleotides) under uncultured bacterium. RNAcentral's name for it is "partial 16S ribosomal RNA". It matches the Rfam family "Bacterial small subunit ribosomal RNA", at positions 524 to 776 of the family's 1533-position model. The record is from RNAcentral.
UGCGUAGGCAGCAAGCGUUGUUCGGAGUUACUGGGCGUAAAGGGUGCGUAGGCGGCUUCUUAAGUCUGGUGUGAAAUCUCCCGGCUCAACUGGGAGGGUGCGCCGGAUACUGAGGGGCUAGAGUGUGGGAGAGGAAAGUGGAAUUCCUGGUGUAGCGGUGAAAUGCGUUGAUCUACAGAGGAACACCAAAAAAGGCGAAGGCAGUCAACUAUUCUGUUCCUGACAUUGAGGCAUGAAAGCGUGGGGAGCAAACCGG